GUCUGUUUUCUUCAGUCGAGACCCAGACUCAUCCACAUGAGACGAUUUUCAUUUGCCUACCUCUCUCCCUUACAGAUAAGGAGUCAUUAAAUGACCAGGAGGGCAGGAAGAUGGGUUAAUAGGUUAUGUCUCACAUCCAGGUGUGCUUCUGGUGGUAACUGUGCCCAGGGAUGCCACCAAGCCUGUCCCACUGGGCCUCACCUUGCCUUCCUCCUCCAGCUGCCUCUUGAGGUCCUCCAUCUGCUGGGUAUAGGAGAGCUUGCCCCGGGUCAGCUGGGAAAUCAAUGCCUCCUUUUCUUCCAGUUGCCUAGCCAGCUCGCCUGGAGCUUGGCUCGCUGUGUGGUGAAGUCAUUGAGGGAGCGCUGGGCUUCUUCCAACUUCACCCGGUAUUCAUUGGCCUGGUCCUCCAGUGUCCGGGACACUUUCUCCAGGUUUGCCUUCAGGCAUUAACGAGCAGAUGGAAGCUUCUGCUUCACCCGCUGCAGGUUGUCUAUCUGCUCGCCCAGCUCGGCCACGCUGUCCGCGUGCUUCUUGCGCAGGGCCGCGGCCGUGGCCUCAUGCUGCAGCGUGGCCUCCUCCAGGUCCCGCCGCAUCUUCUGGAACUCGGCCUCGCGCUUCUUGUUCAUCUCUAUCUGCACAGAUGUGGCCCCACCGGCUUCCUCCAGCCUCUCACUGAUCUCCUCCAGCUCCCGGGACAGGUCUGAGCGCAGCUUCUCCACCUUGGCCCGGGCUGUGCGCUCGGCCUCCAGCUCCUCCUCCAGCUCCUCGAUGCGUGCCUAGUCAGGGACACAGAGGUUCAGACCUGCUUCCUGGACCCUCCAUUGAGGCCCCUGCUCCAGGGCUCUAAAAGGCUCCCAGAUCCCUAGCAUUGGUUUUCAGCCUCUAGGUAUAGCUAGCAAUGCCUGGAGACGUUUUAA
This is a long non-coding RNA of Rattus rattus (black rat), 917 nucleotides long. RefSeq lists it as uncharacterized. The record is from RefSeq and is a predicted model, not a curated record. The transcript has 3 exons. Lineage: Eukaryota; Metazoa; Chordata; Mammalia; Rodentia; Muridae.